Non-coding RNA from Camellia sinensis, 574 nucleotides. The record is from RefSeq and is a predicted model, not a curated record. NCBI's taxonomy places the organism in Eukaryota, Viridiplantae, Streptophyta, Magnoliopsida, Ericales, Theaceae.
CCAUCGCCGCCGAUCUUUUCACGCCGCCACCUCUUCUUCCCUCACCGAUCUUGAUAGAUCCACCGCCACCGCCACGAGAUCUAGAGGCUUCGUUGGGUUAAUCAGUUAGAAAAAGGCUUAAAAUUUGAGAAAAAUGAGAAGAAGAUUAGACCUAGGGUUUCUUGCUCUGUUAUUACAUCAGACAAUGGCAAAGAGACUUUGGUUCCACUUGGAGGAUGCUAUAGGCUUAUAGACAUACCGAUGAGCAACUACAUCAACAGUGGCAUAAACAAGAUUUUUGUAUUGACCCAAUUCAACUAUGUUUCCCUCAACCGACACCUUGCUUGCACAUAUUUUGGAAAUGGUGUGAACUUCGGGGAUGGAUUCGUGGAGGUUCUGGCAGCCACUCGAACACCGGGGGAAGCAGGUAUGAAGUGAUUCCAAGGGAAUGCAGAUGCUGUAAGGAAAUUUAUUUGGGUGUUUGAUGUGAGCUGAAUAGAUCAAUUUUUGGGUUUUUUUUUUUUGGCAAAUAGAUUCUAUAUUUGGAGGUACUAGGAAGUUAUUUCAUCAUCUUUCAACCUUGAUAGAGGAGGAA